Molecule: ribosomal RNA, 500 nt
Filed under: uncultured bacterium
Lineage: Bacteria
Description: partial 16S ribosomal RNA
Rfam family: Bacterial small subunit ribosomal RNA
Source: RNAcentral
AUUGAACGCUGGCGGCAUGCCUUACACAUGCAAGUCGAACGGCAGCACGGGAGCAAUCCUGGUGGCGAGUGGCGAACGGGUGAGUAAUGUAUCGGAACGUGCCCAGUCGUGGGGGAUAACGCAGCGAAAGCUGUGCUAAUACCGCAUACGAUCUAUGGAUGAAAGCGGGGGGUCGCAAGACCUCGCGCGAUUGGAGCGGCCGAUAUCAGAUUAGGUAGUUGGUGGGGUAAAGGCCCACCAAGCCGACGAUCUGUAGCUGGUCUGAGAGGACAACCAGCCACACUGGAACUGAGACACGGUCCAGACUCCUACGGGAGGCAGCAGUGGGGAAUUUUGGACAAUGGGCGCAAGCCUGAUCCAGCAAUGCCGCGUGCAGGAUGAAGGCCUUCGGGUUGUAAACUGCUUUUGUACGGAACGAAACGGUUCUCUCUAAUACAGGGGGCUAAUGACGGUACCGUAAGAAUAAGCACCGGCUAACUACGUGCCAGCCGCCGCCGUAA